Long non-coding RNA from Triticum dicoccoides, 3803 nucleotides. RefSeq lists it as uncharacterized. Lineage: Eukaryota; Viridiplantae; Streptophyta; Magnoliopsida; Poales; Poaceae. The record is from RefSeq and is a predicted model, not a curated record. The transcript is spliced from 8 exons.
CCUCCUCCUCCCCCCACUAGCGCCUCCCUCUCCUCCUUCCCCGCCUUCGCCCGGCCUCCUCCUUCCGCCCCACCGAUCUGGCGCCGCCCCGCCUCACCGUCCUCCGCCGCCCGCCUCCUGCCUUGCCUCGCCUCGCUCCGCUGGCGGCCUCCUGCGCCACCCUGCCUCGCCACGCUCCGCCGGCCGCCUCCUGCGCCGCCCCAUCUCACCGUGCUCCGCCGGCCUCCUCCUGCCUCCCACCGUGGAGAACGGCGACAGGCGGCUGCCAACGGACGGAUACAGGCAGAGGAGGGUCAGAGAGGCGCGCGGAAGGCCGACGAGGUUGGGCAGCGCCGGAUCCAGAGUUCGGGGUGGUGCCAUGGUUGCUCGGUGAGCUCCUGCAGGGGAAGAUGGCGGGGCGAGAUUUAAAGGGAGAUGGCAGAGAGAAGCGAAAGGGAGUGGCGGCGGGGAUUCUGUUGCUCACCGCGAAUAUCGAGCGCUUGGGCACCAUGCGAGGCUGCGGCUGCGGGCGGUUGGAGACGCAGCCUUAGGCAAGCUGCUGCUGCUUUCGAGUGCUGAGCGUCGCUCCGUCGAGUCCGGCGGACGAAGGAUUAGGGGAGGGGCGGGCUGUGGAGACUUCGAGGCGGCUGGUGGAGGCGUUGGCCUUGUCGGAAGGCCGGAGGAGGCGACCGGUGGUGGCUCGCCAUGGCCGCACUUCACGGGAGCGGAGGUAGGCAUUCGAUGGCCAGUCCGUGUGGAUGCAGAUGAGACCCAGCCGUGAUGAACAAAUAGUAGUAGACUGUGCUGGUCUUUUCCUCCUAUCUGAAUUUUCUGCAGAUGAGAUCCAGCCGUGAUAAACAAACAGCAGUAGGCCGUGCUGCUCUUUUAUCUAUUCUGAAUUUUGUGCAACUCAGAUCCACCAAGGAAGAGAUGGAUGAGGUCGUGCUGCUCCUCUCAUCUAUCUCAAUUGCUAUAUGAAAAGCUCUAAAUUUCCAAUCAGCCAUGAAGGACCGAUCAGAAGCGAGGCCCUUGCUGCUCGUGUCUCCAUGCUGGUGGCAACCCGACCUUCAGCUUGCCAGCGACAGGCAGGAAUCCGGUCAGUGGCCGCCAAAUAAGUACAGAUUACGGAAGAGACCUAAGUCCGACCACCGCCCAACUCCCAGCUACUCGCUGCAAUUCCCACAUCCACCUCAAAUGGGAUAAGCGCUCCAGGUGAGGCGUCCCCGGCUAGGAGCAGAUCUGGAUCCCAUGGGUCCACCUCUCCCCGUUCGUUGGAUCUUUGCCCCCCAGCCGUGCCACUCCUCAGGUUUGCUGGCUGAUGUCACGCCCGUUCCAAGGCAGGUUUUUCCCAGGGGAACCUCCUGGGGUGUGUCCUAUGAGGUAGAAGUUUCUUGCUCGGUUCCUUGUGUUUGGGAUGAUCCAGAUGAGAUAGUGCAUCAGUUGCUCACAGGAAGAAACCACCACAAUGAGAAUCCUCUUCUAAUCUGGCAAAGAGGGGAAGAUAGAUACCUGGCUGCCUGGAAAAGUAUUUUUCAAAUUAACCAGAAUGAGUUUGACUUGGUGUACAAAUGCCUUAAUGUGGAACUUCAAGAAAAGGUAUUACUACUGUUCCCUGUUUGCCUACCAACAAAUAUUUGGGGAGACUCCUGAAUUUUUCACAUACCACUGGAAGCUAAAUUAUUCUGGUGGUAUGAACUAAGCUGUGGUUUCCCUAGAAAAAUAAGCAUUUUGUUUUUGUUGCAGUGUGCAUUGUGUUUACUUGUGCUGGAACGUUAUGUUCAAUUACUACUGAUAAAUAUACUGUUAGAACAUGUUUUGAAGUGGAAUUUCAAAAUUUGGCAGUAAUGCAAUGGGGGUCUGGCUGUGUUUUUCGAAAGUGUUGUCGAUAACAAGAGGCUUUUACGACAAUGGAGGCAGCGACAAGCACUGAUAGAUAUACUGUUAGAACAAGAUACAUGAUUUUGAGUGGCUAAUUUGGCAGUAAUGCAAUGGGGGUCUGGCUGUGUCUUUCGAGUGCGGUGUCGGUAAUGAGAGGCUUCAAUGACAACGGAGGCAGUGACAAGCACAUAUAUGCUCUAGCUUUGAGGCACUGAAUUGUGUAUAUUCUGAACCUGCAUUAGAGCUUCACAUGUGUAUGUUUUGAACCUACAUUAGAGCUUCACAUAUCAUUAUAUCGUGAGUCACCAAAAAAAUUGCAUUGCAAACUUUACGCUUUUCUUUUGACCGUAUGACAUCUUAAUCCUUUUAGGUUGGCAUCAAACUUUAUGAGUGGCUUUUUGUUAUUAUGUUGAGCCAUGCUUUAAUUUAUAUUAAUUGGCCAAUUUUUGAUGUCAUAUUUUCUUUAGAUGCAUCACUUGCAGUCAUCCUUUGAUUUCUAUUAAUUGAUCAAUAUUUAUUCUAGAGUCUACCAUGGAUUUACAUGCAACUCAGAGAUUUAAAGAUGUCUUCUUUGGCUGGCAUGAUUGUUUACCUUUUCCUCACUAGAAGCAAUUAACCUACAUGAUCUGUGCAGAAUAUGUCUCACCACUUUAGUAGGCAGGUUUAACAGGAAAUAAUAGUAGCACUAUUUCAACAAGUGGUUCCUUUGUAUGAUGCGGGGUGAGGGCGAUGAGGGCAGCGCCGGGUUUGACGCCGGACGGGGCGGCGGGGGAUGAGGGUGGCACUGUGUUUGAUGCCGGGCUUAAGUACCUCGAGGCCGUCAAUGGCAAUGUGCUUGUGUAUCCCAGGUUCAUCACCGAUCCUUUCACGAUUUCGCUAGACACGUUCUCUGGCGGGUAACUGCACACAACCACAGGAGGAGGUGGUGUUGUGGAAGAAUACGGCCUGGGCAAAGCCAUACUCUUGCAUCUCUUUCAACUGGACAAACAUGGUGGAUAUGGUGGUGGACCUGGGCAGUUUUGCUCUAACCUCAAACUCUUCUUUAUUCCCCACAUUUAGCUUCGGUAAUACUAGCUUUAGAGAACGGCGUCGCCGGGGAGGACGGGAGCGGCUCGACCAAUGGCCACCGCAAUGCUCUUCUGCCCGCUGCUUGCCUCGCCACCCGGGCGCAAAAUAGAGCUGACAAGACGUCUGUAUGUACUGCAGUUCAAUGAGGAAGCGCGUCACUUUUUGUAAAGAAAUACAAGACUAUCUUUUACCCAGGAGAGGUUAACUGAAUUAGGGAGAUGGCGCUGUGCCCAUGGACAAAGUCAGUUGCUCCGAUAUGGAUGAGCAGCAGGUGCUGCUACCGCUGCAGGUGGACAAGGCACGAGGUCUCAUGGCUCCUCCCACUCUUCCCAACAACACUGUUGUGAUGUACUGAAGCCUCUCGUUCCACAUGUUCAGUACUUGCACCUCAACGUCACUUCUGUGAGUGGUGGCCUAGGUUAGGUCAAUCCCUAAUCUCUGUUCCAAUUUAUUCCGGUGUCAUUAUUCUCAGCAUCCUUUAAUUUGCGAUUUAUGCUGCCUUUGUAUUUUUUGGGGCUAGAGAUUAUAGGUUGAUUUAGAUUGCUAACUCGAUUCAGACUGCCAAUACUACUGUAGAUAUCGAUGUUGCAGAGCAUCAUUAUCAAUUGGCUGUUAUCUCAUUGUGUUUAUGAGCAGAUACAACAUCUCUUGUGAGACUUAGUCUUACACUUGCUGAUAUAAACUACUUGGCAAUAUUUAUAGAAUGUAUGUCUUUCUGUUUGUACUACUUGAUACAAAUCAGUUGUCCUAGGCAAACAUUGUGGCUUGCUUUUGGUACAGAUUUUGUCUCUGUGAUCUUUAGUUUUAUGGUUAUCCUAGGCAACAACUACACUUUGCUUGUGGUAUAUAUUUAAUCUAUAUGCCCUAUAUUUAGUUAU